UAGGUGAAAUGCCCAAGCUCAACUUGGGAGCUGCCUGAAAAACUGCAGGGAUUGAGUACAGAUGAGGUAGGCGGAAUUCCCAGUGUAGAGGUGAAAUUCGUAGAUAUUGGGAAGAACACCGGUGGCGAAGGCGACUUACUGGUCCGAUACUGACGCUGAGGUACGAAAGCGUGGGGAGCAAACAG
This 185-nucleotide ribosomal RNA is filed under the name uncultured bacterium. RNAcentral describes it as "partial 16S ribosomal RNA". It matches the Rfam family "Bacterial small subunit ribosomal RNA", at positions 591 to 775 of the family's 1533-position model. The record is from RNAcentral.